Molecule: small nucleolar RNA, 194 nt
Filed under: Helianthus annuus (common sunflower)
Lineage: Eukaryota; Viridiplantae; Streptophyta; Magnoliopsida; Asterales; Asteraceae
Description: Plant small nucleolar RNA U3
Rfam family: Plant small nucleolar RNA U3
About the family: Small nucleolar RNAs (snoRNAs) are involved in the processing and modification of rRNA in the nucleolus. There are two main classes of snoRNAs: the box C/D class, and the box H/ACA class. U3 snoRNA is a member of the box C/D class.
Source: RNAcentral
ACGACCUUACUUGAACAGGAUCUGUUCUAUAGGCUCGUACCUCUGUAUUCUUGAUUCCUAAGAAGACAGAAACCCAUGUCUGGUUGAUGAACCAUAACCAUGGAACUAGAGCGUGAUUAACAGAGCUUAUGGUCUUGACGACCAUGGCUCAGUAGAGGAUCGUUGCCAACCCAUCUCAUGGGUCAUGGCAGACA